ACCUCCUGCCCGAUUCACAUUCACCCUGCUGAGCUACCUUCCUUCCUGCCAGCUGUCUGCUUGAAACAACCUGUCAACCAGCAUCUGCUGGUUCCCAGCACAUCCCUGAAGUGAUCACAGUGCCAACACUUUGGUUCCUCAAACACAGAGCUAUUCCUCCUGAGGAACCCCAAGCUGUUGACAGGAAACACGCCUUCUGCUCAUUGCAAACACUGGGGAGUGGAGCAGAGGUCUUUGGGAGUCUUUGUGCGUAUCAAAGCGAGGAACCCGUCCAGCUCUCAGCAUCCUUUUUCAGCGCUCUGCUGCCCCUAAAGCACCAGCUGCCAUCGCAGGGAGCGGUCACAGGGAAUCAAAGCUCAGGACCAUCUCUUGGGGUCGGGGACAAAAUCUUACGGACCACUCUAGUAAGAAAAACAAGAAGAGCUCAGGAGCUGCUGCACCUCAGACUGAUCAGCCCACAUCAGCCCCGCAGAGACAGCGAUUUCACGCUGGUGUUAUGCACCGUAACACGCAAGCACGAGCGCUCAGUCUGGGAGCAGAACAGCAAACUCAUCAUGCCCUAUUUAGCAAAAUGUUCCCUGCCAACAUGAAAUUCUGACCCUCACAUUUUAUUAAAGGGAUUAUAUCUUAAAGCAAACUAUUUCAGUCCCUUAGCUAGCUCCUUUCUGUGGAAACUUGCGAGACAAUUUUGAGGACCGUGGCGGGAUCAAGAUGAAACACUUCUGCUUUGCCCACUUAUUUCUUCAGAUGUGCUCACAUCCUUCCUCUCCUCUGGUGUGUCCCACCUCGUGGUGUCAGCAGCCAUUUGUGAAGCAUCUUUGGCUUUAGUCUCAUCCUGCUUGCAAUUAAAUAUGUGGAAUUAAAUAGGUUGCUGUAGGGUCAGCUCUUUUGCUGGUGACAAAUAGCCCUGCUAACAACCUGCAUAACUCAAGAAGAGCAUCUCCAAGGCCAGAGGAACUGGAAGGGCAGUUUUACCCUCGAUUGUUUUUGUGAGGGUUUUAAUCCAUUCUAGUUAAUGGUAAGAAUAUACAGUUUAUAUUGUAUAUGAUUGCAUAUGCAUGUUGCAAGGAAGUGGGGGUGGGCCACAUGUUGGGGUAGAUUUGAUAGAACAGCUUUGUGUCAAAUGAAUAGGUGGGUUUAUUAUAGACUUUCCUUGCUCCAAGCUUCAGAUGAGAGAAAUCCUAUAAUCCCGCCCUACUUUAAUACUGGAUUAAUGUGGAUUUGUUAAUAAAAUGCUAGUGAA
Molecule: long non-coding RNA, 1243 nt
Organism: Lagopus muta (rock ptarmigan)
Lineage: Eukaryota; Metazoa; Chordata; Aves; Galliformes; Phasianidae
Exons: 3
Source: RefSeq, a predicted model, not a curated record